UACAGAGGGUGCGAGCGUUAAUCGGAAUUACUGGGCGUAAAGCGCACGUAGGUGGCGACGUAAGUCGGGUGUGAAAGCCCCGGGCUCAACCUGGGAAUUGCAUUCGAGACUGCAUUGCUGGAGUACGGAAGAGGAGGGCGGAAUUCCAGGUGUAGCGGUGAAAUACGUAGAUAUCGGGAGGAACAUCAGUGGCGAAGGCGGCCCUCUGGUCCAGUACUGACACUCAAGUGAGAAAGCGUGGGGAGCAAACAGG
RNAcentral lists this ribosomal RNA (253 nucleotides) under uncultured bacterium. RNAcentral describes it as "partial 16S ribosomal RNA". It matches the Rfam family "Bacterial small subunit ribosomal RNA", at positions 524 to 776 of the family's 1533-position model. The record is from RNAcentral.